UGGAGGAAGGUGAAAGCCUCCAGGGCCUCUGACAAUCUGCCCCGGAGGAAAAUUCCUUCCCGACCCCAAAUAUGGCAAUCAGUUAAACCCUGAGCAUGUGGCCAAGAC
This is a non-coding RNA of Chelonoidis abingdonii (Abingdon island giant tortoise), 108 nucleotides long. Lineage: Eukaryota; Metazoa; Chordata; Testudines; Testudinidae. The record is from RefSeq and is a predicted model, not a curated record.